AACAAACGCUGGCGGCGUGCCUAACACAUGCAAGUCGUACGAGAAAGGGUCUUUCGGGAUCUGAGUAAAGUGGCGCACGGGUGAGUAACGCGUGGAUAAUCUGCCCUUCAGUUGGGAAUAACUCAUCGAAAGGUGGGCUAAUACCGAAUAAUGCUGUGAGACCUCGGUUGAUCAGCCAAAGAGAGCCUCUGCUUGCAAGCCCUUGCUGAAGGAUGAGUCCGCGUACCAUUAGCUAGUUGGUAGGGUAAUGGCCUACCAAGGCGACGAUGGUUAGCUGGUCUGAGAGGAUGAUCAGCCACACUGGAACUGAGACACGGUCCAGACUCCUACGGGAGGCAGCAGUGAGGAAUCUUGCGCAAUGGGGGAAACCCUGACGCAGCAACGCCGCGUGAGUGAGGAAGGUCUUCGGAUCGUAAAGCUCUGUCGGAUGGAAAGAACCGCAUAGGGGUAAACAGCCCCUGUGUCUGACGGUACCAUCAAAGGAAGCACCGGCUAACUCCGUGCCAGCAGCCGCCGUAA
Molecule: ribosomal RNA, 519 nt
Filed under: uncultured bacterium
Lineage: Bacteria
Description: partial 16S ribosomal RNA
Rfam family: Bacterial small subunit ribosomal RNA
Source: RNAcentral